UACGGAGGGUGCAAGCAUUAAUCGGAUUUAUUGGGCGUAAAGGGCGCGUAGGCGGUAGGAUAAGUCGGAUGUGAAAUCCCGGGGCUCAACCUCGGAACAGCAUCUGAAACUGUUUUACUAGAGGAUAGGCGGAGAAAACGGAAUUCCACAAGUAGCGGUGAAAUGCGUAGAUAUGUGGAAGAACACCGGUGGCGAAGGCGGUUUUCUAGCUUAGACCUGACGCUGAGGCGCGAAAGCAAGGGGAUCAAACAGG
RNAcentral lists this ribosomal RNA (253 nucleotides) under uncultured bacterium. RNAcentral describes it as "partial 16S ribosomal RNA". It matches the Rfam family "Bacterial small subunit ribosomal RNA", at positions 524 to 776 of the family's 1533-position model. The record is from RNAcentral.